AGCGUACACGGUGGAUGCCCUGGCAGUCAGAGGCGAUGAAGGACGUGCUAAUCUGCGAUAAGCGUCGGUAAGGUGAUAUGAACCGUUAUAACCGGCGAUUUCCGAAUGGGGAAACCCAGUGUGUUUCGACACACUAUCAUUAACUGAAUCCAUAGGUUAAUGAGGCGAACCGGGGGAACUGAAACAUCUAAGUACCCCGAGGAAAAGAAAUCAACCGAGAUUCCCCCAGUAGCGGCGAGCGAACGGGGAGCAGCCCAGAGCCUGAAUCAGUGUGUGUGUUAGUGGAAGCGUCUGGAAAGGCGCGCGAUACAGGGUGACAGCCCCGUACACAAAAAUGCACAUGCUGUGAGCUCGAUGAGUAGGGCGGGACACGUGGUAUCCUGUCUGAAUAUGGGGGGGCCAUCCUCCAAGGCUAAAUACUCCUGACUGACCGAUAGUGAACCAGUACCGUGAGGGAAAGGCGAAAAGAACCCCGGCGAGGGGAGUGAAAAAGAACCUGAAACCGUGUACGUACAAGCAGUGGGAGCACGCUUAGGCGUGUGACUGCGUACCUUUUGUAUAAUGGGUCAGCGACUUAUAUUCUGUAGCAAGGUUAACCGAAUAGGGGAGCCGAAGGGAAACCGAGUCUUAACUGGGCGUUAAGUUGCAGGGUAUAGACCCGAAACCCGGUGAUCUAGCCAUGGGCAGGUUGAAGGUUGGGUAACACUAACUGGAGGACCGAACCGACUAAUGUUGAAAAAUUAGCGGAUGACUUGUGGCUGGGGGUGAAAGGCCAAUCAAACCGGGAGAUAGCUGGUUCUCCCCGAAAGCUAUUUAGGUAGCGCCUCGUGAAUUCAUCUCCGGGGGUAGAGCACUGUUUCGGCAAGGGGGUCAUCCCGACUUACCAACCCGAUGCAAACUGCGAAUACCGGAGAAUGUUAUCACGGGAGACACACGGCGGGUGCUAACGUCCGUCGUGAAGAGGGAAACAACCCAGACCGCCAGCUAAGGUCCCAAAGUCAUGGUUAAGUGGGAAACGAUGUGGGAAGGCCCAGACAGCCAGGAUGUUGGCUUAGAAGCAGCCAUCAUUUAAAGAAAGCGUAAUAGCUCACUGGUCGAGUCGGCCUGCGCGGAAGAUGUAACGGGGCUAAACCAUGCACCGAAGCUGCGGCAGCGACGCUUAUGCGUUGUUGGGUAGGGGAGCGUUCUGUAAGCCUGUGAAGGUGUACUGUGAGGUAUGCUGGAGGUAUCAGAAGUGCGAAUGCUGACAUAAGUAACGAUAAAGCGGGUGAAAAGCCCGCUCGCCGGAAGACCAAGGGUUCCUGUCCAACGUUAAUCGGGGCAGGGUGAGUCGACCCCUAAGGCGAGGCCGAAAGGCGUAGUCGAUGGGAAACAGGUUAAUAUUCCUGUACUUGGUGUUACUGCGAAGGGGGGACGGAGAAGGCUAUGUUGGCCGGGCGACGGUUGUCCCGGUUUAAGCGUGUAGGCUGGUUUUCCAGGCAAAUCCGGAAAAUCAAGGCUGAGGCGUGAUGACGAGGCACUACGGUGCUGAAGCAACAAAUGCCCUGCUUCCAGGAAAAGCCUCUAAGCAUCAGGUAACAUCAAAUCGUACCCCAAACCGACACAGGUGGUCAGGUAGAGAAUACCAAGGCGCUUGAGAGAACUCGGGUGAAGGAACUAGGCAAAAUGGUGCCGUAACUUCGGGAGAAGGCACGCUGAUAUGUAGGUGAAGUGAUUUACUCAUGGAGCUGAAAUCAGUCGAAGAUACCAGCUGGCUGCAACUGUUUAUUAAAAACACAGCACUGUGCAAACACGAAAGUGGACGUAUACGGUGUGACGCCUGCCCGGUGCCGGAAGGUUAAUUGAUGGGGUUAGCGCAAGCGAAGCUCUUGAUCGAAGCCCCGGUAAACGGCGGCCGUAACUAUAACGGUCCUAAGGUAGCGAAAUUCCUUGUCGGGUAAGUUCCGACCUGCACGAAUGGCGUAAUGAUGGCCAGGCUGUCUCCACCCGAGACUCAGUGAAAUUGAACUCGCUGUGAAGAUGCAGUGUACCCGCGGCAAGACGGAAAGACCCCGUGAACCUUUACUAUAGCUUGACACUGAACAUUGAGCCUUGAUGUGUAGGAUAGGUGGGAGGCUUUGAAGUGUGGACGCCAGUCUGCAUGGAGCCGACCUUGAAAUACCACCCUUUAAUGUUUGAUGUUCUAACGUGGACCCGUAAUCCGGGUUGCGGACAGUGUCUGGUGGGUAGUUUGACUGGGGCGGUCUCCUCCUAAAGAGUAACGGAGGAGCACGAAGGUUGGCUAAUCCUGGUCGGACAUCAGGAGGUUAGUGCAAUGGCAUAAGCCAGCUUGACUGCGAGCGUGACGGCGCGAGCAGGUGCGAAAGCAGGUCAUAGUGAUCCGGUGGUUCUGAAUGGAAGGGCCAUCGCUCAACGGAUAAAAGGUACUCCGGGGAUAACAGGCUGAUACCGCCCAAGAGUUCAUAUCGACGGCGGUGUUUGGCACCUCGAUGUCGGCUCAUCACAUCCUGGGGCUGAAGUAGGUCCCAAGGGUAUGGCUGUUCGCCAUUUAAAGUGGUACGCGAGCUGGGUUUAGAACGUCGUGAGACAGUUCGGUCCCUAUCUGCCGUGGGCGCUGGAGAACUGAGGGGGGCUGCUCCUAGUACGAGAGGACCGGAGUGGACGCAUCACUGGUGUUCGGGUUGUCAUGCCAAUGGCACUGCCCGGUAGCUAAAUGCGGAAGAGAUAAGUGCUGAAAGCAUCUAAGCACGAAACUUGCCCCGAGAUGAGUUCUCCCUGACUCCUUGA
RNAcentral lists this ribosomal RNA (2787 nucleotides) under Escherichia coli. RNAcentral's name for it is "bacterial LSU rRNA". It matches the Rfam family "Bacterial large subunit ribosomal RNA". Lineage: Bacteria; Pseudomonadati; Pseudomonadota; Gammaproteobacteria; Enterobacterales; Enterobacteriaceae. The record is from RNAcentral.